AGCUCGAGUUCCUCUUCAUUAUCGCAUAAAUCUUUUGCCUUUUAGUAAAGAUUUCCAUGGAGGGGAGCUUCUUGCGAGUGACCAGUAUAUCUGGAGGCUCUGAUCACAGCAGAGCU
This is a small nuclear RNA of Sinocyclocheilus anshuiensis, 116 nucleotides long. Its record names the gene U5. It matches the Rfam family "U5 spliceosomal RNA". Rfam says of the family: U5 RNA is a component of both types of known spliceosome. The record is from Ensembl. Lineage: Eukaryota; Metazoa; Chordata; Actinopteri; Cypriniformes; Cyprinidae.